GCCCGGGUGGUGAAAUUGGUAGACACCGCAGACUUAAAAUCUGCUGCUUAGCGUCAAGCGGCGUACCGGUUCGAUUCCGGUCCCGGGCACCA
This 92-nucleotide transfer RNA is filed under the name Burkholderiales bacterium PBB1. RNAcentral's name for it is "tRNA-Leu". It matches the Rfam family "tRNA". Rfam says of the family: Transfer RNA (tRNA) molecules are approximately 80 nucleotides in length. Their secondary structure includes four short double-helical elements and three loops (D, anti-codon, and T loops). Further hydrogen bonds mediate the characteristic L-shaped molecular structure. tRNAs have two regions of fundamental functional importance: the anti-codon, which is responsible for specific mRNA codon recognition, and the 3' end, to which the tRNAs corresponding amino acid is attached (by aminoacyl-tRNA synthetases). tRNAs cope with the degeneracy of the genetic code in two manners: having more than one tRNA (with a specific anti-codon) for a particular amino acid; and 'wobble' base-pairing, i.e. permitting non-standard base-pairing at the 3rd anti-codon position. RNAcentral also lists the same sequence under 1 other name. Lineage: Bacteria; Pseudomonadati; Pseudomonadota; Betaproteobacteria; Burkholderiales. The record is from RNAcentral.